AUUGAACGCUGGCGGCAGGCCUAGCACAUGCAAGUCGAACGGUAACAGGAAGAAGCUUGCUUCUUUGCUGACGAGUGGCGGACGGGUGAGUAAUGUCUGGGCAACUGCCUGAUGGAGGGGGAUAACUACUGGAAACGGUAGCUAAUACCGCAUAACGUCGCAAGACCAAAGAGGGGGACCUUCGGGCCUCUUGCCAUCGGAUGUGCCCAGAUGGGAUUAGCUAGUAGGUGGGGUAACGGCUCACCUAGGCGACGAUCCCUAGCUGGUCUGAGAGGAUGACCAGCCACACUGGAACUGAGACACGGUCCAGACUCCUACGGGAGGCAGCAGUGGGGAAUAUUGCACAAUGGGCGCAAGCCUGAUGCAGCCAUGCCGCGUGUAUGAAGAAGGCCUUCGGGUUGUAAAGUACUUUCAGCGGGGAGGAAGGGAGUAAAGUUAAUACCUUUACUCAUUGACGUUACCCGCAGAAGAAGCACCGGCUAACUCCGUG
RNAcentral lists this ribosomal RNA (490 nucleotides) under uncultured bacterium. RNAcentral describes it as "partial 16S ribosomal RNA". It matches the Rfam family "Bacterial small subunit ribosomal RNA", at positions 30 to 507 of the family's 1533-position model. The record is from RNAcentral.